Helianthus annuus (common sunflower) is the source of this 2043-nucleotide long non-coding RNA. RefSeq lists it as uncharacterized. NCBI's taxonomy places the organism in Eukaryota, Viridiplantae, Streptophyta, Magnoliopsida, Asterales, Asteraceae. The record is from RefSeq and is a predicted model, not a curated record. The transcript has 3 exons.
GGAAAAAUUAAAAACACACUAUGUGUGUGUGUGUCUGGGGAUCGAUCAAGGCAGGGAAGAAAAAGGGUUCAACCCUAGUUGCUAAUCCAGCCAAAUUAGAAGAAAAUUUCAAAGAUAAUUGAUUGCAUGAACUCAAGUUUCGAUCAUCUAAGCUCAUAUAGGGAAGUGGCGUAAAAAAAGAAAGCUCAAACGCUAGGAAAUCGGAAGGUUCGCAAGAUCGAGGUAUGUUGUUUUAUGCAUACAAACUUUAUUUUGUAACUUUUCGUUCUUGUACUAAAAUCAUAAUUAUGGUAGUUCGUAGUAGUUAUGUAGUAGAUAACAUGACCUGUCACGAACGGGUCAUAUGAAAUGAAAGUUUAUGAAGGAAAUUGUAUUAUAAUCGGUUCAUCUCGGAUGAACCGUAUUGGAAAGUUAUGUAAGAAAGGAAUGAAAUUACUCGAUCCGUUAUAAACGGGUUGGAGUUGAUGUAAGUGCAAAAAUGAAAGGAAUGUAUUCGUUCGUGGUAAACGGACCGAAUGGAAAUUUAUGUUACGAAUGUAAUUACCCGUUUCUAACGGGUAAGUAAUGAAUGGUAUGUUUUAUCUCUAUUUUGAGAUAAGUAUGUUUUGACCCGUUUCGACGGGUAGUAAGUGCAAGAAUGAUGUGAAGGCAUGGAAUGUCAGUUUGUUCUUCUAAAAAGUAUUGUUGAUGCCUGAUGCAUGUGUCAUUGUGUCGAUCACCAGGUUUGUGUGUCGAAUAUGACCUAUUGUUCCAAUUUCAUCGCCUUCAGGUGUGUUUCUCCAGGUCUUUUGUCACUCUACGUGAAGUUUGUUUUUGUGUUAGUUAAGUUUAGUAAAAUUCGAGCAUCUCGAGUUAGGGUUUGUAGAAUGAGAUUUCAUUUGCGAUGGUUAAUCGUUGUGUUAUGUUAUGAGAUUUGAAUUUCUGUUACGAACUACUAUUUUGGAUUGAAUUUGUGCUCUGAGUUGACUUCGUUGGAUCCUACAUUUUGAUGAGGUAUGUCUUUUGUUUAAUUUGCAUAUGCAUUUAAUGAAGUAUGUCUUUUGUUACAAAGUUGUACGUAUUUAUGAUUAAAGCAUUGAGAUAUGAGUUCUGGAAAUUUCUAUCUGUUUGCAGCAAUUGGGAGUUAAUGAAGCAGGGUUAGAGAAUCCAUGAGCUCCUAUGUUAAGAAAUAUAGUUUCUGAGGGUUAGAGAACUAUGAAUUUGUUAUCAUUGUUUGUUGAACGGUUAAUUGUUGUUCGUUGGAUUUUACAUUUUGAUGAAUGAAUUUGUUAUCAUUGUUUACUGAACGGUUAAUUGUUUUUUUUAACAGUGAGAAUCUUUAACUUGUUGUGAGAGAGAUCCCACACCCUCCUAAACAGAGGGCCCUAACCCCACUUUGGCCAGACUAUGUUGUCUUAACUAUGUCCACGCUGGCGUCAGAGUUUGGCUAACGACGUUCCACGGGAAGCCAUACCACCACUGCAAGUAACAGGGGCUUGCACCGCCACAAGAAAGAUUCUCUCUGGCGUGACGCACGGUGGAUUAAAACCCGGGGUGGCUCGGACUCGAACUCUUGACCUAAGCACAUAUUGAACGGUGAUGAGAAGUGUCCCUUGUGCGAUGAGUUAGUGGAGACGGCUGAGCAUUGCUCGUGCUCAGUGGCCUCAAAUAUCUGGUAUCGUAUCAGCCGUUGGUGCAAGAUUAGCCCGAUCUAUGCCUUCUCUAUUAGAGAUUUGUUGUCUAUCCAUGAGUACUCGGGACUGGAAAAAACGCUAAAGAAGCCCUUCAAGGUAUUAUUAUAGUUGGUUGUUGGUGUUUAUGGAAAGCUAGAAACGAGAGGAGGUUCAAGAAUAAUAGGAAAGAGAUCUCGGUUACUUUUCAAGAUGUUAAAGUCUUAGGUUUCUUAUGGUACAGAAAUAAAUCUAGAAAUAGGAAGGUAUUUUAUGGAAUAGCUUGUGCUCUUUCAAUUUUUUAUAAUUGGUUGUUGUUUGUGUGGUUGCCCUUGUUUUGAGGGUUAGCUUGUGAAUAAAAAUUACUUUCAAAAAAAAAAAGCACAUGUAUUUA